UAUAAAAAAUGUAAGGGAUGAGUUAUUUUGUGAAAAUUAAUAAAUUUGGCGGUUAAUUUUUAAUUAGAGGAGCUUGUUAAAUAGAUAGUAAUAACUCUUUAGAUUUUUAAAUAAUUUGUUUAUUCAUCUCCGUUAUAAGAAUUUACUGUGUAAAAAGUAAUUGAACUAUAAUUUCAGGUCAAGAUGUAGCAUUUAUAAGUAAAAAUUAGCUACAGUAAGAAAAUUUUUGGAUUUAAUUAGGAAAAUAUUUAGAGAAAUUGAAUUUAGUUGUAAUAAUAUUUAGAAAAAUAAUAUGAAUUGAUAAAAUUAAUGUACAUAUUGCCCGUCACUUCUGAUUAAUAAAUAGAAUAAGUCGUAACAAAGUAAAUUUAAGGGA
This 376-nucleotide ribosomal RNA is filed under the name Manaosbiidae sp. MZSP 72927. RNAcentral's name for it is "partial small subunit ribosomal RNA". The record is from RNAcentral. Lineage: Eukaryota; Metazoa; Arthropoda; Arachnida; Opiliones; Manaosbiidae.